CCGUAGGUGAACCUGCGGAGG
This 21-nucleotide ribosomal RNA is filed under the name Cladosporium sphaerospermum. RNAcentral describes it as "partial 18S ribosomal RNA". Lineage: Eukaryota; Fungi; Ascomycota; Dothideomycetes; Cladosporiales; Cladosporiaceae. The record is from RNAcentral. RNAcentral also lists the same sequence under 1 other name.